UUUACCAGGAAGGCUCUAGAAAGGUAUGUGUGAAAAAAUACAUAUUUCACAUAUAUGAAAUAUAAACUAAUUGCCUGAUUUAUGUUUCUUUUAUUGUAGUUUAUUUAAAGAAUGGAUCACACGUAACUUCAUAUUUACCUGUUCCUGUUACGCUUUUGAUUUUCAGGACAGGAGAGAACUGCAAGGCAACAGCGGGGACACAGGAUGAUGCAGAGCUGGUCUGGGUUAGCACACAGAAAAUACCAUCCCAACAAGGAUUAAUUGAAGAGAU
RNAcentral lists this long non-coding RNA (271 nucleotides) under Anas platyrhynchos platyrhynchos (common mallard). RNAcentral's name for it is "lncRNA (ENSAPLG00000022317.1)". The record is from RNAcentral. Lineage: Eukaryota; Metazoa; Chordata; Aves; Anseriformes; Anatidae.